UCCGCUAUGGCGCAGUUGGACAGCGCACAUCGCACUACCUAUCCAGCGGUGAGGUCCAAGGUUCGAGUCCUUGUGGUGGAA
This 81-nucleotide transfer RNA is filed under the name Fusarium oxysporum NRRL 32931. Its description in RNAcentral is "tRNA-Asp (ATC) (tRNA-Asp-ATC-1-1)". It matches the Rfam family "tRNA". From Rfam's summary of the family: Transfer RNA (tRNA) molecules are approximately 80 nucleotides in length. Lineage: Eukaryota; Fungi; Ascomycota; Sordariomycetes; Hypocreales; Nectriaceae. RNAcentral also lists the same sequence under 3 other names. The record is from RNAcentral.